GUUAAAAUGUAAAUAUCACUAAUCUAUUAACACCAUCCAAUCAUUUUGGGUUUUUUUUUAGUAAUCACAGGAGGGGUAAGAGGUAGAGGAGAGGGUAGAGGAAAAUCCUCGACAGGUAGAGGAAAGUCAUCAGCUAUUAGAGGUAGAGAAACAACAUCCAAUCCCCUUCGAAAGAAAAAAAAAAGAUCUAUUUAUACACUGGUUACUUGGUUGAUGGACACCCAGCCGCCUUUCUUCAGCGUCACGCCAACUAUCUCCUUAAAUGUAUGAGUAAAUUUUUGUUAAGUAUCAACCGUUGCGAGUCCUCAGUGUCACCAUCUUUUUCUGAACUCUUUUGAUACAGCUAUCCAUCGUAUAUAAGAAAAACAUCGGGCCAAACUUCCAACUGUCUUAAGAUAUAGUCCCUUUCCAUUAAUUGCAUUUUGCAAAAUAGUUUCAAAUCCAUCAAUAGUAAGAAAUAAAGGCGGAAUUCUACAGUUAUCCCACUCAUAACUUUCAAUACGUGGGAGAAGGCGGCUUAUUUUUUCUACAUUUUUUUACGUUAUUUCCUCACGUCGAAAAUCAAAUGAGCACCAGCACUCAAUAUUAUUGCACAUCAAAAAGUAAAAAGAAAAGUACACAUACAUUUAUAUAUCGAA
Molecule: long non-coding RNA, 638 nt
Filed under: Mytilus galloprovincialis (Mediterranean mussel)
Lineage: Eukaryota; Metazoa; Mollusca; Bivalvia; Mytilida; Mytilidae
Source: RNAcentral